AUAAUUUCUUAGAACUUAAGAAACUCCUGUUCCCCUGGGCCUCCCAUAGUGUCCCAUGUCGGAGCAAACUGUGGCCCUGAAUCACUGUCUGGAAUCUGCCUUUAGGCUGCUGGCACUGCAGUGGGUUGCCCAGUA
Ictidomys tridecemlineatus (thirteen-lined ground squirrel) is the source of this 135-nucleotide small nucleolar RNA. The record is from Ensembl. Lineage: Eukaryota; Metazoa; Chordata; Mammalia; Rodentia; Sciuridae.